RNAcentral lists this ribosomal RNA (675 nucleotides) under uncultured bacterium. RNAcentral describes it as "bacterial SSU rRNA". It matches the Rfam family "Bacterial small subunit ribosomal RNA", at positions 55 to 712 of the family's 1533-position model. The record is from RNAcentral.
AUGCAAGUCGAACGGAGAUUACUUCGGUAAUCUUAGUGGCGAACGGGUGAGUAACGCGUGGGCAACCUGCCCUCUAGAUGGGGACAACAUCCCGAAAGGGGUGCUAAUACCGAAUAUGACAGCAAUCUCGCAUGAGGAUGCUGUGAAAGAUGGCCUCUAUUUAUAAGCUAUCGCUAGAGGAUGGGCCUGCGUCUGAUUAGCUAGUUGGUGGGGUAACGGCCUACCAAGGCGAUGAUCAGUAGCCGGUCUGAGAGGAUGAACGGCCACAUUGGGACUGAGACACGGCCCAGACUCCUACGGGAGGCAGCAGUGGGGAAUCUUCCGCAAUGGGCGAAAGCCUGACGGAGCAAUGCCGCGUGAGUGAUGAAGGAAUUCGUUCCGUAAAGCUCUUUUGUUUAUGACGAAUGUGCAGGUUGUGAAUAAUGACUUGUAAUGACGGUAGUAAACGAAUAAGCCACGGCUAACUACGUGCCAGCAGCCGCGGUAAUACGUAGGUGGCGAGCGUUGUCCGGAAUUAUUGGGCGUAAAGAGCAUGUAGGCGGUUUUUUAAGUCUGGAGUGAAAAUGCGGGGCUCAACCCCGUAUGGCUCUGGAUACUGGAAGACUUGAGUGCAGGAGAGGAAAGGGGAAUUCCCAGUGUAGCGGUGAAAUGCGUAGAUAUUGGGAGGAACACCAG